This 508-nucleotide ribosomal RNA is filed under the name uncultured bacterium. Its description in RNAcentral is "partial 16S ribosomal RNA". It matches the Rfam family "Bacterial small subunit ribosomal RNA", at positions 28 to 507 of the family's 1533-position model. The record is from RNAcentral.
GACGAACGCUGGCGGCGUGCCUAAUACAUGCAAGUCGAACGCUUCUUUCCUCCCGAGUGCUUGCACUCAAUUGGCAAGAGGAGUGGCGGCCGGGGGAGUAACACGUCGGUAACCUACCCUUCAGAGGGGGAUCACACUUUGAUACAGGUUCUAAUACCGCCUAACAGUUUAUGCCGCAUGGCAUAAGAGUGAAGGGCGCUUUCGGCUGCCUUUGAUGGUUUGACCUGCGGUGCAUUGGCUAGUUGGUGGGGUAACGGCUCACCAAGGCGGCGAUGGAUAGCCGAGCUGAGGGGGUGAUGGGCCACAGUGGGACUGAGACACGGCCCUGACACCUACGGGAGGCAGCGGUAGGGAAGCUUCGGAAAUGGAGGAAAUACUGCACGAGCAACGCAGCGCGGGUGAAGAAGGGUUGCGGGGCGGAAAACUCUGUUGUUAGAGAAGAACACUGACGUUAGGAACUGAACGUCUCGUGACGGUAUCUAACCAGAAAGCCACGGCUAACUACGUG